UGGGGAAUUUUGCACAAUGGGGGAAACCCUGAUGCAGCGACGCCGCGUGAUUUAGAAGGCCUUCGGGUUGUAAAAAUCUUUUUUACGGGAUGAAAAUGACAGUACCGUAAGAAUAAGGUCCGGCUAAAUACGUGCCAGCAGCCGCGGUAAUACGUAUGGACCGAGCGUUGUCCGGAAUCAUUGGGCGUAAAGGGUACGUAGGCGGCCUAGUAAGUUAGAAGUGAAAUCCUGUAGCUCAACUACAGUAAGCUUUUAAAACUGCUCAUCUUGAGAUAUGGAAGGGAAAGUGGAAUUCCUAGUGUAGCGGUGAAAUGCGCAGAUAUUAGGAGGAAUACCGGUGGCGAAGGCGACUUUCUGGCCAUAAUCUGACGCUGAGGUACGAAAGCGUGGGUAGCAAACAGG
Molecule: ribosomal RNA, 402 nt
Filed under: Bacteroidota bacterium
Lineage: Bacteria; Pseudomonadati; Bacteroidota
Description: Bacteroidetes bacterium partial 16S ribosomal RNA
Rfam family: Bacterial small subunit ribosomal RNA
Source: RNAcentral